Long non-coding RNA from Amaranthus tricolor (Joseph's coat), 2586 nucleotides. RefSeq lists it as uncharacterized. The record is from RefSeq and is a predicted model, not a curated record. The transcript is spliced from 2 exons. NCBI's taxonomy places the organism in Eukaryota, Viridiplantae, Streptophyta, Magnoliopsida, Caryophyllales, Amaranthaceae.
UUUCAUCCCUAACCUUGAAUUGUUCAUAAAUUGUGAUUAUAGGAAGCAAAAAUUGGAACGGUGAAAUCAGAGUGAUCAAAAUAUAAAUCCGGGGCAGGAUGGGCAUUUCUCCAUCGAUCAACUGGUAUAUAUAAUAUAUAUAAUUAAAGGCAACUAGGGUUCUAAGAAACAAAGUUGCCAUAAGUUUUAAAAUGAGGCAGGAAGAGGCUGUGGGAGUUUCCGUGGAUCGUUUUGCCCCUUUUCCUGUGCCGGUGAUUUCUUUAUACAUCUGUAAAACGAUCCUCCGUUUUCUAUCUUCCUCUUUUUUUUUUCUCUUUUUUUCUCUUCUUUCCCUUCCAUUCCAACUUUUACACCCUUAAAAAAAGAGGCUGUGAUGAGUUGAAAUGUCGAAAAGUAGUCGAUUUCAAUUUGGUUUUUGGAGCAUUUCUGUUGGUGGGUGUAUUUCAUUUGGCUUGGCAGCAAUUUGGUUGAUUUGGGAUGGUUUUGGCAAUUAGCUAUGGUGAUUAAGUGAUUUGCUUUGCCGCCAUGGUACACUUUUUCCACCUUGUAAUGCUCACCAAAUUGUUUUGAUGAAAUUCAGAUCUGAGCCUCUUCUUUCAUAGGAAAAACCCAGAUACAGGUAGUGGAGAAACAACAACUGAUUAGUUUUCUUACUGGCUGGACAGCAGUGACGGAACCGUACUUGCUUUGCCGCCAUGGUAUCUCCUUUCUUUUCUCAUACUUGAUCUAAGGCAUGCUCAUUUUUGCAUAUCUCAAUGUUAUACUCCCACCUAACCAUUUUAGUUGAGUUGUCCCAUUUUCUUAUUUAGCAAAGUCGUUUUAGUUGUCAUAUUUUUUAUUUUUGUCAAUGUUUUUUUAACUAAAUAUCCUUAGUUGACACACGUAAUUACGAAUAUACCCCAUAUACCUUACUUACCCAACUACCCUUCGCUACUUACCUUUCACUGCUUACCCUUCACUAUUUACUCUUUUUAAUGGACCCCACACCAUCCUUAAUAACCGUGUCCAAGCAAAUGGGACAAGUAAAUUGGUUCGGAGUAAGUAUUGUUUUUAAUGGAAUGAAUGGUCUAGAAAGUGAAGAUACCUUGGGUUAACAAUUAUUGCAUUUACGGCCUGUUUGGUAAUCGUACUAAACGGUGGAAAUAAUAAUAAAAAGUUAAUGUAAUUCUCUGAGGAAUGCCUCUUGACAAAAUGCAUUAUCAUUUAAACAUAUGGUGUUAUGUAGCAGUGGAAAAUUGUGAAGAAAAUAACUUUUUUAUGAUUAAUUUUCAUUACCAUUGAAAUGAUACAUAUCGUGAAUAUUUACGCUACAAAUCAUGUCAUUUCCACCACUUAUUACCGAUUACCAAACAGAUCGUUAUAUGUUCAAGCAGCCUACAUCGAACAUUUUUAAUUGCUAAGCUCAGACUUCUUAAGAAGAGAAUAAUAAUUAUAAUCUCAUUAGUUUAAGAAUUGGAGAGUAUAUGACAUUCUAUGGGAUUUUUGAGGCUGUGAUGAUAAAAUUUUCUACUUUAGGUAGUAGUGUCUCAGGUAGUGGAGAAACAAGGAGUUUUAUCAUUGGCUAGGCAGCAGUAAAGGAGUUUUACUUGCUUUGCCGCCAUGGUACUAUUCUUUGUUUUUCAUACUUGAUCAAAGGCGAAUCUGAGCCUCUGUUAGCUAGCCUCUAAAUCAGUGAAGCAUAAUUCGCUAGUUAUUUCGUCUUUUGGAUUCUUAAUUCGCUCAAAAUGGAUUAAAAAUAGCCUAAAAACCGACCAUAAUUCGCUUUUUUCGAUUUGUGAUUCGCGAAUAGAUCUUUUGAUUAGAGGCUAUGAUGAAUGCAAAUCCUCCGUAUUAAUUUUGUUUAGAGCGUUUUAUGAGUUGGGCUUCGUUCUAUUUGGCUUGGCAGCAACUAUUUUGGUGUGUUUGGCAUGUGGGAAUAAGGAAUUCAAGGUUUAGGUUUAGGGUUUUGGGUUUUCAGUUUGAGUUUGUGUUUGUGUUUGUGUUUUUGUUAUUGUUGCUAUGCCGCCAAUGGUAGAGAAUUCCAUACCUUAAAAUGCUUGACAAAUUAAGAUAUGAUGAGCUGCAGAUCUGAGCCUUUUUAGUUUUGCCACUUCCACUACACAUUUUGGAGAUGCCUUUUCUUAACAAGGCAAGAUAAUUUUUGAUAUGUAAAUUUUUAUCAUUUCAAAAAAAUUAUUGAUGAAACGAAUUUCAAUUGUUGGUAAGAUGUUUUUGUUUGGCCAUGUGUUGUAAAUAUUAUUUUAAAUAAGAAAUCCACAUCAUUUUCGAGUUGGAGACAUUGUAUUUUUAAAAUUUUGUUUGAGGAAAAUCGAAAAUGCUCUGAACUAUUUAGAUGGAAAACAAAAGAGCUAAUAGGUGGAAGGCAACUCCUAAAAAUUGUAUUAUUAAUAUUAUUAAAAUUAGGUAUUACAUUGAUAAUUCUAUUAACAAUUAGUCUUUUGAGAGACCGUUCCUUUGAGAGACUGUUUCUUUGAGAGAUGUAUCUCAAGUCCAGCCCAUUAAAGAUUUAUAUCUGCUUACCGUAUUGUUAAUGCCUACAUAUAUUGUCCUUAAUGCUUAUCGUAUCAUUAAUGUUUACUUUUAAUA